This 301-nucleotide ribosomal RNA is filed under the name uncultured bacterium. RNAcentral describes it as "partial 16S ribosomal RNA". It matches the Rfam family "Bacterial small subunit ribosomal RNA", at positions 509 to 808 of the family's 1533-position model. The record is from RNAcentral.
CAGCCGCCACGGUAAUACGUAGGUCCCGAGCGUUGUCCGGAUUUAUUGGGCGUAAAGCGAGCGCAGGCGGUUAGAUAAGUCUGAAGUUAAAGGCUGUGGCUUAACCAUAGUACGCUUUGGAAACUGUUUAACUUGAGUGCGAGAGGGGAGAGUGGAAUUCCAUGUGUAGCGGUGAAAUGCGUAGAUAUAUGGAGGAACACCGGUGGCGAAAGCGGCUCUCUGGCUUGUAACUGACGCUAAGGCUCGAAAGCGUGGGGAGCAAACAGGAUUAGAUACCCCGGUAGUCCCUGUCUCUUAUACC